AAGGCAGGAAAGUAUGAAUCGGUGCAAUGCUCAUCUACAAUGCAUUUCUAGCAGAAAGUGUUUAAUCUCCUGCAAUAGUACUGAUUUCUGGGGCACAUGGGCAGUUGUGACUACCUCUAAUUUUUAUGCAGUUGUUUGUCUCAACAAUCGAUCAUUUUCCUCAUAUUU
This is a small nucleolar RNA of Zingiber officinale, 168 nucleotides long. RefSeq annotates it as small nucleolar RNA snoR135. NCBI's taxonomy places the organism in Eukaryota, Viridiplantae, Streptophyta, Magnoliopsida, Zingiberales, Zingiberaceae. The transcript has a single exon. The record is from RefSeq and is a predicted model, not a curated record.